GACUCUGAAGUGUGGGUUCUCUGGUGAAAUGACUUACUAUCCGGUAGGCAUCAAGCCUGCAGCACCCCAGGACUCAGACUUCUCAAUGUCUGAAGGAUGAUCACAAAAAAGGGAUAAAAUAGUCAUUCGUGGGCCAAGAUGUAGAACACAAGUCAGAGGGUGGAAAAUAUACCAUGGUAAAAUUUGGCACCAUGAAAAUGAGGCACUUUACUACUGGAAGGUUUGCUGGUCAGGCAUUCGGGGAAGGUUACUAUGUUGGGGGGGAAAGAAUGGGAUGGAAGGAUGCAAAGACAUUGCAAGGGGGGACUGUGUGUCUGUGAAGAUGAGGAAGGGGAAAUUGGAGAGGAGGCUGACUUAAUUAGUUAAGAUGAGGUACUGGAGUAAAGUGUCCCUGUAAGAGGAGGGGAAGGCAUAGAGAAACAGGGAGACGCCAUGUGAGGACAGAGGCCGGGACAGAGGCACCGCAGCUGCAGGCCAGGGAAGGCAGGGCCUGUCGGCCACAGUGGUGGCCAGAGAGGGAGGCAGGAUUCUCUUCCACAGGGAUCAAAGGGGGCAGGGCCCUGCCAACAGCUUGGUGUUGCACUUCUUGAUUACCUGGGCUCUGGCAGCCUCUCUGGGUGAGUUUCUCAAUUAGAAUGAAAAAUCUCUAACAAUUCUUCACCCAGAUCCUCAUUUGUCUUUUUAGAACUGAAGCAAAAAUUGAACUCUCUGAGUUGGCUUGACGGAUGGAUGAGUGGAUUCUAGCCAUGAUAAAACAAUCAAAUGCUGAAAAAUUAUGGAGAAAAUUAUGAAUAUCUAAUUCAUUUGUCUGUUGGCUCAGGAUGGGUUGGCUCAGAGCUGCCAUCAGAGGGAUAAUCUGAACUUCCUCCCCAAGUACUCCCAGUUAUUUCUGGCAUCUUCCCAGACCCCCUAAACCAGGUCACUUGGGGUCAUUGGGAUCGUUCUCUCUAUCCAAGACUGGUGCUUGUGAAUAAACUAGCAGGUAUCUUGUUGCUGUCUCAGUCUGCUUCAAGAAGGCCACCGUCCCAGGCAUGAUGUUACCUUCAAGGGUUCCCCAAAUUUCCAAACCUCAGGGGGCCAGAGGGGUGCUAGGCUUGCUGCAGACACAGAAUGAGUGAGCUUUUCCCAGUGAUUCUAGAUCUGAAGCAGAUCUGCUCUCCAGAGGCCUCCCCUGUCUCUUCUUCCACUUGGGGAGAGAAGCCUGGGACCAGCUGGGGAAGACACACCAUAAGCCCCCUCUGUUGUCCGCUGGACUCUCCUUUACUGACGACCCCUUCUACUCUCCUGAGUACAAAAUAAUAACUCCCUUGUGCACCUCUGGGUGCAGACAGGUACUGAUGUUUGUGUUUGGGGGAGGGUGUGGCAGUCUAGACCUUAGCUCUGCCAGCUAAAACUCCCUGUUACAUACGCAUAAUUCAAACCAAGCUCAUUAAGCAACCACCAAAGAUAGCCUAACUUGGUAAUGCCUUCCUCGAGAGCAAUUUGGCAAUGUUGAUCAAGAGCCUUAAAAAUGUUCACAGCCUUUUACUCAGCGUUUUAACUCUUAGGAAUUUAUUCUCAGGAAAUAUUCAGGUAGGUUCAUCAAGAUCUAUGUUCAAGGAUUUUUAUUUUAAAAUUUAUCUCACUAAUACACAUGUAAAAUUAGAAAUUCACAACUUUAAUGUCCAUAAUAGAGGAAUAAAUAAAUCUGGUGUUUACAUAUAUGUAAUAAAAUAUUUUAAAGCCAUUAAAAUCACAUUGAAGAGUAGUUAAUAAUCCAGGAAGAUGAUAAUGUUGUAAUGUUAGGUUUAAACUAUUAGAUAUAAAAUUGUAGAUACAGUGUAGUGCCAUCAUGUAUCAUAUGCUAUGUAUAAUACAUGUUUUAUAUGUAUUUAAAAUACUUGUAUUUAUAAUACAUAUAAAACAUGUAUUAUACAUAGCAUAUAUUUAUGUAUAUGCAUGUGUAUAUACAUAUGUGUGCAUGCGUGUAUGCGUACAUAUACCAGAAAGAAUGCCCUGAGAUAUGAAGAGUGGCUAUAUCUGGGGAAUGGAACAAUUAGAGUUAAUUUACUUUUUCUUUUUCAGAAUAUUCUUUCUGUUUUCCCUUAAGUCUCUAUAAUGACCAUGUAUGACCUAAAACAAUGCUUUACAAUGAUUCAUGCAACAGAAGUUACCAGAAUCUCAAGUACACAAUUCUGCAACUGAGAAAGCAGGGUAUGCUAUUCCAGGCCUCCUGUGUGGGGACCUCCCAAGCCUGCUCUCCCUCUUUGGUGCCACAGACUUUGCCAAGGUGAAAAAGAGCUGGAGACCAAGAGCAGAGAUGGGAUGGACCUGUGUGAUAUGGUUUGACUCUGUGUCCCCACCCAAGUCUCAUCUCCAAUUUUAAUCCCCACGUUUCAGGGGAGGGACGUGGUGGGAGGUGAUUGGAUCAUGGGGGUGGUUUCCCCUAUGCUGCUCUUGUGAUAGUGAAUGAGUUCUCAUGAGAUCUGAUGGUUUAAAAGUGUUUGGCAGUUACCACUCCUGACUCCUGCUGCCAUGUAAGAUGUGCAUUGCUUUCCCUUCACCUUCCACCACGAUUGUAAGUUUCCUGAGGCCUCCCUAGCCAUGUGGGACUGUGAGUCAAUUACACCUCUUUCCUUUACAAAUUACCCAGUCUUGGCUAUUUCUUUACAGCAGUGUAAAAAUGGACUAAUACACCAUGUCUGGAGCCUGGUGCCCCAGACAGCCACCAUCCCCCAUACUCUGGGGCCCUAAAGUGAGAUGCCCUGACUGCUUCCAAGGCUCUGACUUUGUCUCAGGACUGUGCCUUAUUUCCUGGACUAGUCCAGUGUCCUAGGGGGUAGUGGACAGCAGAAAGAAGACUCAGUCUGCACUGGCGCCCCAGCUCCACUACAUAAAUGACCUGGGAGGCAGGUCUCCUCACCUGUAAAAUGGGGAUAAUAAUACCACCCACAGGAUUAUAAGCGAGAUGACAUAUGAAAAGAGCUUGGUGUUGUACCAUAUAUAUAGUAAAUGCCCUGUCAUUGGUGUGUGUGCAUACCUUGUGUAUGCAUGUGUUGUGUGUGUCUCUCUGUGCGCUUUCCCAUCUGAUAAAUGUCAUCCAAAGUCAUUUUCAGCACUCACUUCUUAGAGCUUUGGAUUAAUUUAUGUGUAGUAUUCCUACUGGACCUAUGCCGGGUAGAGUACAUGGGAGUUUCUUGGUUCUGAGGAAGAGGAGGGAGUCAACAGCUCCAUGUGGACACAGUUGCUCUUGCUCUCCUCUCUUCACAGCAGAAGUGGGGGAUGACUGCUGGCCAGCCCUGAGGACUCUCCCUCUCCACUCUCCUCACAGUCAUGAGGCUGGACCAUAGCUGCCUUCAGCGACCCCGAUGUCCAGGUGCACCUGCUGAGUGGAAAAGUCAAUAAACAGUUGCAAAUACAAAUUGACUCAAUGAGGGAAUGAUAAACUUGAGAGGAGGCUAACAUUAGCAUCAUCCUCACCAUCACCAUCAUCACCGUCACUAUCACUAUCACUGUCACCAUCAUCAUCACCAUCACCAUCAUUAUCACCAUCACCAUCAUCAUCACAACAUAAUGAACAGCUGGGUGUUCACCUGGAAGCUCAGAGCCUGGUGUGGCCUGGGCCCUCCCUUUGCAGCUGGUUCCCUCCUUCUGGACUUUUAAGUGCCUGGAAACUGCCAGGUUUGCACUGGACUGUACCCCUUUCGGGAAACCACUGCUGUCACUGUUAGGUGACCUGGCUGGAAAGGAGGAUGUCUGGGUGACAGGGCUUGUGGGCCAUCCUGGCUAUAGGAGUACGUACCAUUGCAGAAUCAUCCCACACUGGCACCAUCAGGGCCAUGCAGGCAAGAACAACAUAGCAUGAGGCCAAAUGCAAAUUGUUUUAAAACACACAAAUGAGCUUGGUUCAGGUGGUGCCAAAGAAUUCUCUAUUUCAGCAGAGAGAUAUUUUGUGCACUUUUACUACUAUCAUCCAAUAAAAAUGCAACUGUUCAUGGAGUCAUUAAGCUGUACUUUUAGGAGAUGCUGUCAAGGAAAACGGGCCACAAAUUUAAUCUGAUUUGCUAAACUGAUUUUAGUUACUCCUGUCAAAGCCACAUCAAACCUUCAAAUCUGUGUGCUUUCUUUUGCAUCAUGAAAUUGUUACCCUGAACACUUAGAAUCAAUUUGAUUUGGGGAUACCUUUAGUCACUCAAAGUGCCUAUGUGCACUCAGGCAUGUGAUGUGGUUCCUGACCACAAGGAGCUAUGGGGAAAGAUGACGUAAGAUAGAAUGUGAAUGGGAAAACAGGUAGCAUGGGCUGGAGGUACAUGGUGGGUCAGGAAGGGAGGAGAUGGUGCUGGCUGCCAUAUGACAAGCACCUCCUCUGUCCAGGCCUGAAUUGAGUGUUUAACCGUGCAGCCACACAGAACCCACGCCGAGAAGGGUCCUACACUGAUGUAAUGCUCUGCUGCCUCUGUUUGGAAAUUCUUAGUAAUUAUGAACAUGGCACUCUGCAUUUUCAUUUUUGCACCAAAGCUGUUUCCUUUUCUUUCUGCACACACAGCCAGACCAUAUCUUCCAGCCUCCCCUGCGGUCAGGCAUGGCCAUGUGGCUGAGUCUGAUGGAUGGAGGGUGAAAGCCAUCUGCAUGCCCAGCCCAGAAGCGUCUCUGUGCAGGAGUCUUUAAAACACAUGAGCUUGGUUCAGGUGGUGCAAAGAAUUCUCGAUUUCAGCAGGGCGGUAUGUUGUGCACUUUUACUGCUGUCAUCCAACAACAAUGCAACUGUUCCUGGGGUCACUAAGUUGUCCUUCUAGGAGAUGCUGCCAAGGACAGCAGACCAGGCUCUUUCCCCCUUUGGUUAAUUGGGGUCUGACCAUCAGGGCAACUGUGGAAGCCAGGUUUUGAAGAUGGUACAGCCUGUGCUUGAGUCUCAAUAACUGCAUGGAGCAGAGCUCCCUGUGCCCACUGCUCCCUUGUCCCAGCCACUUGGAACUGCCCUGGACUCUCACACGAGCAUAACAGGCAUCUCUGUGUUGAGUGACCGCAGCUUCAGAUCUGUGGUGCCUGCAGCCUGGCCCGUGUGAAUGCCUCAUUUUCAGAGGAAGGAGCUUCCUCAGAAGUUUCCCAGCGGACUUCCUCUCUCAGCUUGUUAGCCAGAAUUAUGCCUUAUGUUUUUUCCCAAACCUGUCUCAUCAAGGAGAAGGGAAUUGCUACGAUCAGCUUGGAUGAAUGAGGACUUACUCCCUAGGGCCAGGGAGGGCCCUGGUCACCCCAAGCCCAGGGCUGUCCACACCUGAGCAAAACUGGGCUUUGAAUCACCGGGUCUGGCAGGGACUUGUCACUGAGUAGGCAGCCAAAUAGUGUCUGGGGAGGAAGAAACACUUUAAAAAAAAUUUUAAAAUUUUAAAAAAUUUAAACCAUAUUAAAUGACAAUGACCAUAUUAAUUUUUUGAGGAACAAUAAAAUAUUCCCUGUAAUUUCUUGUACAUUGGGGAGUGAAAAAAUUAUACAUGUUGCAUAGGUGGAGAGAAACUUUCCUGGAACUGUGAGGUUUAUAUAGAAUUAAGAAUGCCACGUGUAGGUCUUCAACCAUAACUACUAGUUUUCCCACCUCUUAUAUGGACGCAAUACAUUCAAAGGAGAAGAACACACAGAGUUCCCUGGGAAUUGUGAUUAAAAUGUGCUUAAAUAUCAGGCAGAGAGUGAUGUGGGAAGUGGUUGAUGUUGAUGUUGAGUUUCUUUGGAACAGUCUACAUUUUUGGACAAACGAUUUUCCCGCUUUAUAUUUGGUUUGUAUAUGUCAAAGGCUGCAAGUAACAGCAUAUCUGACUGCUUGACUCUAUGGCUUUUAAGUAAUGAGGAGUUUAUUUUUCCUCAUGUAACAGGAAGACUGGAGGUCAGUGGUUACUGGUGCUGGUUCAUAAACUCGGUGAUAUUAGCACUAACCUUCUGCAGUUUUCUUAGAAUUCUUCUCUUGUUUGCAAUAUGGCUGUUGGAGCUGCAGUGGUCACGUCUGGGGCAGAAUGAAGAUGUUUGGGGCAGGAGAGACAUUUUGAACCUCAUCUGUCUCAUUUUACCAAGAAUCCAAAGUUUUCUAGACACUGGCCCCAAAGCAGUCUCUGGCCUUGGUGUCAUGUCAGAACUGAGUGACAGCCCACCCCUAACUUCAGGGCAGGCUGGGCAGUGAGGAGUGAAAUUAUCAAGACUGGCUUAGACAGAGGAUCAGGACCCAUCGCCUGGGGCUGCUGGACCCAUGGCUUUUCUGAACCCAAAUGGGCUUCUUCCAGUAAGAUACGACAGAGGAGUGGACACUGAGUAAGCAACAAAGAGUGUAUAUCACGAGCUGCCAAGGGGCUGAGGGGAGAGGAAUGGUUUACAUAAAUAAGGCAGGUGGGAUUUUUGAACCUCUCCUGGAAGUUUAAGGAGGGAGGUUUGGGGCCUGGAAUACUUUUGAUAAAAAUAAAGCCAGAGCAAAGUGAAAACCACAGCAGAGCUCCCAUCUGAGCUGGUGCUGGUGUCCAGAGCUGAAUCCCACAGUCUCUGCUGCCAGCCUGUGUUCUACUGCUGAGCCAGGUCCUCUAACGUGAUAGGGUUGUCAUUGAGUCUCUCCAGAACAGGCUGGCGAGCGUGGUAGAUUAUCUCUCCAGUCAACUAGACCACUGAUAAGAGGGCUCGACUUCCCUGUCGGAGCUCGUAAGGCAGGCGUGGCAUUUCCCUUGCUUUCCUCUGGCCUCCCUUCAUGCUUCCUUUGCUUUCCUUGCCUGCCUGGGCCAUGGGGACAGCUCUGUUCACGUCUCCUCCUCUCCAGACAUGUGCCUCUAGCGCAGUGCAAUCCGAUAAAAAUGGAACGUGAGCCACGUAGGUCACUUCAAACUAUCUAGCAGCCACGUUUUAAAAAGGAAAAGAAAUGCAUGGAAAUAAAAAUGAUUUUAGUUAAUCCAUAUAUUAAAAUAUAAUUUUAACAUAGAUUCAAUAAGAUUCAAUAGAAACAUGAUUAAGAUAUUUUACACUUUUUUCAUAAGAAGAUUUUGAAGCCUGGUGUGUAUUUUACACUUUACGUAUUUCAAUUCAUAUUAGUCAAAUUUUGAGCAAUCAAUAGACACAUGUGGCUAGUGGCACCAUCGUGGAGGGUACUGGAGAGUACACGUGUAGAAGACAGAUACCAUGAUAUUCAUCUCUUUAUCUCCAGGACCUGACCAACAGUGGACCCUUCAUAAGUACUUAAUGAAUAAAUAUGAACACGCUGCUAGAAACGGGCCUUUUUCAAACAUAGGUAUUGGCUGGGGGUGGAGGUGGGGGCAGAACAGAAAACCCUGGAACACUGUACUUGGUAAUACAGAGCAUGGACUUACAUUCUCACACCUUGGGUAGGGCUGCAUCAGCAGCUGACCCAGAUACCUUGGAAUUCCUUAGCUUCUUUCUGUCUCUGUUUCCUCAUCUGUAAAAAGAGAUAGCGACACCUGUCUUGCAAGAUGCUGGGAAGAUUAAAUGAAUAGGCGUACACCAAGUGCUAAGUACCCGACAUGCCCAUAAGCACUGAAGAAGCAGUAGCCACAGUUACUUUAAACCAGAGAUUCUGUCAGUCAUAUGGACAACUCAUACUUUAGUAGCAGCAGGAUGGUUUGGCCAGGGCUUUCGUGCUGGUCCUGAAGUUGGCUGUGUCCCAGUGGUAGGACUCUUGUGGUAUAGAUUUUCUCAUUUUGGGAGCACUCUUGACAAGGGGUCACGAAGCAAUUUGUGGUGUUUGUCUUUUUGGCUGUAGCUGUGGAAAGUCAUGUGCCAACCCUGGGGCUUAGGGUUUAGUCAGCAAGGGCACGUGUGGAAUGAGGGGGGCCCUACUCUGGGAGCCCAUAGUACCCCCCAAGCCUGAGGGCUCAGCUUCCCGUGGGAGCCUGGGCUGACUUAGGGCAGCCAGGCCCCUUCAGAGCAGGGUGAAGACCUGGACCCCGCUGCCUGCUGUCUGUGCCCCCUCGGCCAUCCUCGUAUGCUCCGCCCCUCUACCCUGUCCUUUGGACGCCCCCUGACUUUUUCCCCUAAAUUGACUGAAUUGAAAUUUACUUGUUUGAAACAAUAGAAACCACGUGUUUCCUGAUCAUACCUAGCUUUGAAAACAGAAAGUGGGCAAAACAAGCCAGGCGCAUAGUGGCAUUGAGAAAGGCAAAGGCUAACUUCAUUAAAAAGCUUCUUUGUGGUAUCAGGCAGGAAGUGAAACAGCUUUAAAUGGCAAACAUUUCUCAAUCAUUUAAUGCACCAGUAAGCUUGGCAUUCUUUCUCCUUUGUCCCCUUAAAGAAAAAGAGAGCCCAGAUAUAACUCAGAUGAGGAGGGGGAGGGCCCGAUCCUGUGUGUUGGAGGAGUUCCCUGGAGCAUUGGUCCUCACCCCCAUGAAGCUUCACGGGAGGACCAAUGUCAGACGUGGGUGCAGAGGACAGUGCAGUUUCUCUUGUGUGGCUGAGCCUGGGCCACCCCGGAUGGAUCGCUGACUUCUUGUUGGUGCCACUCACCAGCUAGUUCUCUCAAAUCUGUUACCAUCAGAAGCCCGGUAAAUGGCAAACUUUCCUUGUUAACAUGUAGGUCCAUUUCCUGGGGAUAGUGAAACCCCAGUCCCCACAGGUAGCAUUGACCUCUGUUGCCAAAUGCCAUUAUCCUGGUGUCCACUGCAUGUUAGGCUCUUUCCACAGAAACCAAAAACACAGACAAGUGUGAUAGGCUGAAUCCUUUCUUGAAGAAAAAAAUUGCACGUACAUAUUGAAUAGCAAACCAAUCAAAAUGAAAAGGAAAACCAGAAGAUGGAUGCCACUGAUACACGCUUGCUUAGUUGCACUUUUUAAGAUUCAUUUAUAGAUGUCAAAUAGGAUAUGAACACAUGGAGGUGUGCAG
RNAcentral lists this long non-coding RNA (8839 nucleotides) under Homo sapiens (human). RNAcentral's name for it is "non-protein coding lnc-KIDINS220-16:1". Lineage: Eukaryota; Metazoa; Chordata; Mammalia; Primates; Hominidae. The record is from RNAcentral.